RNAcentral lists this ribosomal RNA (329 nucleotides) under uncultured soil bacterium. RNAcentral's name for it is "bacterial SSU rRNA". It matches the Rfam family "Bacterial small subunit ribosomal RNA", at positions 26 to 346 of the family's 1533-position model. The record is from RNAcentral.
AGAAUCAACGCUGGCGGCGUGCCUCAGACAUGCAAGUCGAACGAUUAAACUUUCCUUCGGGAAAGAUAUAAAGUGGCGCACGGGUGAGUAACACGUAAGUAAUCUACCUUUGAGUGGGGAAUAACGUUCGGAAACGGACGCUAAUACCGCAUAAUGCAGCGGCAUCGCAAGAUGAACAGUUAGUUAAAGGAGCAAUCCGCUUAAAAGAGGAGCUUGCGGCAGAUUAGCUUGGUGGUAAGGUAACGGCUUACCAAGGCUACGAUCUGUAUCCGGUCUAAGAGGACGGUCGGACACACUGACACUGAAUAACGGUCAGACUCCGUACGGGA